AAUUAAAUUUAUUAAUAUGUUUUUUUUUUUUUAAUUUUUUAUAAAAAUAAUUUAUUUAUUUAAUGUUUUAGUAUUAAUUAAAAAUUAAUUUAUAGAUUUAUAGUUUAAUAGUAUUGUAGAAGAAAUUGUUAAAUUUAAUAAAGAAUUUAUUAGUACCUUUUGUAUCAGGGUUGAUUAAAAUUUUUAAUUUUUUUUUAAUUUCUCAAAAUUUAUAGAGUUAAUUUUAUUAUUAAUUUAUUGUAGUAAAAAUAUUUAAAAAAUAAUAUUAGUUUUGAAAUUUAAUUCGUUAUAUUAUAUUUAGUUAUUUAAGAUUUAAAUUUAAUUUAAAAUUUUAAAAGUUAUAUUGAUUUUAUUAAUUAAUAUUUUAGAUUUAAAUUAUUUUAGGGAUAAGCUUGAAAUUUUAAUAUAAUAAUUUAUUUAUUUUAAUAAUUUAUAGGAAUAGAAAUUUUUAUAUAAGUUUGUAAAAAUUUAUUAUUUAUUUAAUUUUAAUUUAUUAUAUUUAUAUUUAUUUUUAGUAUUAAAUUUUAUUAAUUAAUAUUUAAUUAAUAGUAAUAAUGAUUAAAUUAGUAUAAUAUAUAAAUUUAUAAAUUAUGAAUUCGGCAAAAAUUAUUUUCAUCUGUUUAACAAAAACAUUGUAUUAAGUUUAAUUUAAUAUAGGAUCUGCUCAAUGAUUUAUUAAAUAGCUGCAGUAUUUUGACUGUGCAAAGGUAGCAUAAUAAUUAGUCUUUUAAUUGAGGACUUGAAUGAAAGAUUUGAUGAGAAAUAAACUUUAUUAUUUGUAAAAUUAGAAUUUUAUUUUUAAGUAAAAAAGCUUAAAUUAUUUAAAGGGACGAUAAGACCCUAUAAAACUUUAUAAAUUUUAAUUUUAAUUUUUUUGGAUUUAUAAAUAUUUUACAAUUAAAAUUUAUUUUAUUGGGGUGAUAAAAAAAAUUAAUAAACUUUUUUUAAAAUUUAACAUUAUUUAAUGAUUAUUUGAAUUAAAAUUUUUAAUUAAAGGAAAAAGUUACUUUAGGGAUAACAGCGUAAUUAAUUUUUUAAGUUCAAAUUUAAAAAUUAGUUUGCGACCUCGAUGUUGAAUUAAGAUUAAUCUUAGGUGCAAAAUUUUAAGUAUUAGGUCUGUUCGACCUUUAAUUUCUUACAUGAUUUGAGUUCAAACCGGUGUAAGCCAGGUUGGUUUCUAUCUUUUAUUAAUUAAAUUAUUUUAGUACGAAAGGAUUGAAUAAUUAAAUUAAAUUUUUUUAUAAUGAAUUAAAAUAAUUUA
RNAcentral lists this ribosomal RNA (1261 nucleotides) under Aphis glycines (soybean aphid). Its description in RNAcentral is "16S ribosomal RNA". Lineage: Eukaryota; Metazoa; Arthropoda; Insecta; Hemiptera; Aphididae. The record is from RNAcentral.